RNAcentral lists this ribosomal RNA (512 nucleotides) under uncultured bacterium. RNAcentral's name for it is "partial 16S ribosomal RNA". It matches the Rfam family "Bacterial small subunit ribosomal RNA", at positions 28 to 507 of the family's 1533-position model. The record is from RNAcentral.
GAUGAACGCUGGCGGCGUGCCUAAUACAUGCAAGUCGAACGAAACUUCUUUAUCACCGAGUGCUUGCACUCACCGAUAAAGAGUUGAGUGGCGAACGGGUGAGUAACACGUGGGCAACCUGCCCAAAAGAGGGGGAUAACACUUGGAAACAGGUGCUAAUACCGCAUAACCAUAGUUACCGCAUGGUAACUAUGUAAAAGGUGGCUAUACUACCGCUUUUGGAUGGGCCCGCGGCGCAUUAGCUAGUUGGUAGGGUAAAGGCUUACCAAGGCAAUGAUGCGUAGCCGAAUUGAGAGGUUGAUCGGCUACAUUGGGACUGAGACACGGCCCAAACUCCUACGGGAGGCAGCAGUAGGGAAUCUUCCACAAUGGGCGAAAGCCUGAUGGAGCAACGCCGCGUGGGUGAAGAAGGUCUUCGGAUCGUAAAACCCUGUUGUUAGAGAAGAAAGUGCGUGAGAGUAACUGUUCACGUUUCGACGGUAUCUAACCAGAAAGCCACGGCUAACUACGUG